AGAUUGAACGCUGGCGGCAGGCCUAACACAUGCAAGUCGAGCGGUAGAGAGGUGCUUGCAUCUCUUGAGAGCGGCGGACGGGUGAGUAAUGCCUAGGAAUCUGCCUAGUGGUGGGGGAUAACGUUCGGAAACGGACGCUAAUACCGCAUACGUCCUACGGGAGAAAGGCGGGGGACCUUCGGGCCU
RNAcentral lists this ribosomal RNA (186 nucleotides) under uncultured soil bacterium. RNAcentral's name for it is "partial 16S ribosomal RNA". It matches the Rfam family "Bacterial small subunit ribosomal RNA", at positions 26 to 217 of the family's 1533-position model. The record is from RNAcentral.